Molecule: ribosomal RNA, 440 nt
Filed under: uncultured bacterium
Lineage: Bacteria
Description: partial 16S ribosomal RNA
Rfam family: Bacterial small subunit ribosomal RNA
Source: RNAcentral
CCUACGGGAGGCAGCAGUGGGGAAUAUUGCACAAUGGGGGAAACCCUGAUGCAGCGACGCCGCGUGAGCGAUGAAGUAUUUCGGUAUGUAAAGCUCUAUUAGCCGGGAAGAAAAUGACGGUACCUGACUAAGAAGCCCCGUCUAACUACGUGCCAGCAGCCGCGGUAAUACGUAGGGGGCGAGCGUUAUCCGGAUUCACUGGGUGUAAAGGGAGCGUAGACGGGCAAGCAAGUCAGGGGGGAAAGCCCGGGGGCCAACCCCGGGACUGCCCGUGGAACUGCAUGGCUGGAGUGCGGGAGGGGCAGGCGGAAUUCGUGGUGUAGCGGUGAAAUGCGUAGAUAGCAGGAGGAACACCGGCGGCGAAGGCGGCCUGCUGGACCGCGACUGACGUUGAGGCUCGAAAGCGUGGGGAGCGAACAGGAUUAGAUACCCCUGUAGUC